UACGUAGGGUGCAAGCGUUGUUCGGAAUCACUGGGCGUAAAGGGAGCGUAGGCGGAACUGUAAGUUAGAAGUUUAAUACCCAGGCUUAACCUGGGGCUUGCUUCUAAUACUGCGGUCCUUGAGUAAGGAAGAGGGAGAUGGAAUUCCAGGUGUAGCGGUGGAAUGCGUAGAUAUCUGGAAGAACACCAGCGGCGAAGGCGGUCUCCUGGUCCUAUACUGACGCUGAGGCUCGAAAGUUAGGGGAG
This 245-nucleotide ribosomal RNA is filed under the name uncultured bacterium. RNAcentral describes it as "partial 16S ribosomal RNA". It matches the Rfam family "Bacterial small subunit ribosomal RNA", at positions 524 to 768 of the family's 1533-position model. The record is from RNAcentral.